This 544-nucleotide long non-coding RNA is filed under the name Coturnix japonica (Japanese quail). RNAcentral's name for it is "lncRNA (ENSCJPG00005018665.1)". The record is from RNAcentral. Lineage: Eukaryota; Metazoa; Chordata; Aves; Galliformes; Phasianidae.
CUUAGGGCUGCUUGCAGCUGGACAGUGAGGGAGUGAUUGGGCUGUGGCACAGUAUUUGUGCCCUGUUUGAGGGUUGUGGAAGUUUGGUCUUUGUUUUUGCCUCCAGCAUGGCGGGAUCUGGGGCUGUUUCUUGAUGCUAGUCUCAUCUCCAUCCUCCAAGUGGGUCUGUGCUGGCUUUUCUCUGCAUCUGUCUGUGUUGCACUGGUGGUGCCAGUUUCCAGUUCUACAGUAUGUUGUCAGCAGGAUCAGAGCUGGACCUGCAGGGGGCUAAGCAGUGUCAUCCAUCCCUUGUCCAUUCCCUGAACUCUCAACUGUGCUUAACAUAAACUACAGAGAAGAUAUUCUGUCCUGAUACCCUUUUCUUGAAAGGUUUGCCAUUGAGCUUGCUGAGUGAAGUCCAUCCCCUUGAGUUGCUAAGGAGUGCUGUUCAGGAUGGUGUUCUCAGUAAGCUUUUUAGUAACAGACUGGAUUAAUUCCAAGGAAGCUCCUCUAUUCUGUUGCCUAAUUAAUAAUGUAUCUCUUCUCUUUAAAAAAUAAAUAAAAA